RNAcentral lists this ribosomal RNA (443 nucleotides) under uncultured bacterium. RNAcentral's name for it is "partial 16S ribosomal RNA". It matches the Rfam family "Bacterial small subunit ribosomal RNA", at positions 338 to 795 of the family's 1533-position model. The record is from RNAcentral.
CCUACGGGUGGCAGCAGUGGGGGAUAUUGGACAAUGGGCGGAACCCUGAUCCAGCGACGCCGCGUGAGUGAAGAAGUCUUUCUGUAUUUAAAGCUCUAUCAGCCGGGAAGAAAAGCAUGGCGGUCCCUGCCUCCGACGCCCCGGCUCACUACGUGCCCGCAUCCGCUGUAAUACGUCGGGGGCAAGCGUUAUACGGAUUUGCUGGGUGUAAAGGGCGCUCAGCCGGCAAUGCAAGCCUGGAGUGCACGGCAGGGGCCCAACCCCCGGACUGCCCUGGGAACUGGAUAGCUAGAGUGCAGGAGAGGCAAGUGGAAUUCCUGGUGUAGCGGUGAAAUGCGUAGAUAGUAGGAGGAACACCAGUGGCGAAGGCGGCUUGCUGGACUGUAACUGACGUUGAGGCUCGAAAGCGUGGGGAGCAAACAGGAUUAGAUACCCCAGUAGUC